Molecule: transfer RNA, 81 nt
Filed under: Blastomyces dermatitidis ATCC 18187
Lineage: Eukaryota; Fungi; Ascomycota; Eurotiomycetes; Onygenales; Ajellomycetaceae
Description: tRNA-Und (NNN) (tRNA-Und-NNN-18-1)
Rfam family: tRNA
About the family: Transfer RNA (tRNA) molecules are approximately 80 nucleotides in length. Their secondary structure includes four short double-helical elements and three loops (D, anti-codon, and T loops). Further hydrogen bonds mediate the characteristic L-shaped molecular structure. tRNAs have two regions of fundamental functional importance: the anti-codon, which is responsible for specific mRNA codon recognition, and the 3' end, to which the tRNAs corresponding amino acid is attached (by aminoacyl-tRNA synthetases). tRNAs cope with the degeneracy of the genetic code in two manners: having more than one tRNA (with a specific anti-codon) for a particular amino acid; and 'wobble' base-pairing, i.e. permitting non-standard base-pairing at the 3rd anti-codon position.
Source: RNAcentral
GUCAGCAUAGCUCAGUUAAUAAGACUGAUAAUCAAGGCUGCACACAUUAGAGGUGUGUGGGUUCGAAUCCCACUGCUGACA